GAUUAACGCUGGCGGCGUGCCUAACACAUGCAAGUCGAACGAGGUAGCAAUACCUAGUGGCAGACGGGUGAGUAACGCGUGGUCAACCUACCCUGGAGUGGGGGAUAACUAGCCGAAAGGUUAGCUAAUACCGCAUGAUACGUAACGGGGCAUCCCGAUACGUUGAAAGGAGCAAUCCGCUCGAGGACGGGACCGCGUCCGAUUAGCUAGUUGGUGAGGUAAUGGCUUACCAAGGCUCCGAUCGGUAGCUGGUUUGAGAGAGCGACCAGCCACACUG
Molecule: ribosomal RNA, 277 nt
Filed under: uncultured bacterium
Lineage: Bacteria
Description: partial 16S ribosomal RNA
Rfam family: Bacterial small subunit ribosomal RNA
Source: RNAcentral